Molecule: ribosomal RNA, 717 nt
Filed under: Salmonella enterica subsp. enterica serovar Cerro
Lineage: Bacteria; Pseudomonadati; Pseudomonadota; Gammaproteobacteria; Enterobacterales; Enterobacteriaceae
Description: partial 23S ribosomal RNA
Rfam family: Bacterial large subunit ribosomal RNA
Source: RNAcentral
AGACCCGAAACCCGGUGAUCUAGCCAUGGGCAGGUUGAAGGUUGGGUAACACUAACUGGAGGACCGAACCGACUAAUGUUGAAAAAUUAGCGGAUGACCUGUGGCUGGGGGUGAAAGGCCAAUCAAACCGGGAGAUAGCUGGUUCUCCCCGAAAGCUAUUUAGGUAGCGCCUCGUGAAUUCAUCUCCGGGGGUAGAGCACUGUUUCGGCUAGGGGGCCAUCCCGGCUUACCAACCCGAUGCAAACUGCGAAUACCGGAGAAUGUUAUCACGGGAGACACACGGCGGGUGCUAACGUCCGUCGUGAAGAGGGAAACAACCCAGACCGCCAGCUAAGGUCCCAAAGUCAUGGUUAAGUGGGAAACGAUGUGGGAAGGCCCAGACAGCCAGGAUGUUGGCUUAGAAGCAGCCAUCAUUUAAAGAAAGCGUAAUAGCUCACUGGUCGAGUCGGCCUGCGCGGAAGAUGUAACGGGGCUAAACCAUGCACCGAAGCUGCGGCAGCGACACUCAGGUGUUGUUGGGUAGGGGAGCGUUCUGUAAGCCUGUGAAGGUGUGUCGUGAGGCAUGCUGGAGGUAUCAGAAGUGCGAAUGCUGACAUAAGUAACGAUAAAGCGGGUGAAAAGCCCGCUCGCCGGAAGACCAAGGGUUCCUGUCCAACGUUAAUCGGGGCAGGGUGAGUCGACCCCUAAGGCGAGGCCGAAAGGCGUAGUCGAUGGGAA